UCUGUCUGUGUUGAUUCCAGCAGUGAUAGUGAUGCUGAAUCAGUAUCUGCAAAGAGCUACCAAGAAACGUCAAGCCCAGUUGAUACAGUCGGUAGUUCAAAUGGAAACCAUCAAACUGACUUGGACGAUGAUGUCCACGUCGAGGAGAUGCUAUCGUCAUUGGACCACAAAGAGCUCGUGGCGACGACCACUAGCGAAAAGGCUGGGCCUUCUCGACCUCAGCGAAGAUAUAACAACGGGCCAAUACGUUUCCAAUUGCCAUCAAAACAAGAGGU
Molecule: long non-coding RNA, 275 nt
Organism: Tarenaya hassleriana
Lineage: Eukaryota; Viridiplantae; Streptophyta; Magnoliopsida; Brassicales; Cleomaceae
Exons: 2
Source: RefSeq, a predicted model, not a curated record